RNAcentral lists this ribosomal RNA (172 nucleotides) under uncultured Porphyromonas sp. RNAcentral describes it as "partial 16S ribosomal RNA". It matches the Rfam family "Bacterial small subunit ribosomal RNA", at positions 356 to 524 of the family's 1533-position model. Lineage: Bacteria; Pseudomonadati; Bacteroidota; Bacteroidia; Bacteroidales; Porphyromonadaceae. The record is from RNAcentral.
GAGGAAUAUUGGUCAAUGGGCGAGAGCCUGAACCAGCCAAGUCGCGUGAAGGACGACGGUUCUAUGGAUUGUAAACUUCUUUUGUAGAGGAAUAAUGGCAGCUACGCGUAGCUGAGAUGCAUGUACUCUACGGAUAAGUAUCGGCUAACUCCGUGCCAGCAGCCGCGGUAAU